UACGGAGGAUGCAAGCGUUAUCCGGAUUCAUUGGGUUUAAAGGGUGCGUAGGCGGACUAUUAAGUCAGUGGUGAAAGCCUGCAGCUUAACUGCAGAACUGCCAUUGAUACUGAUAGUCUUGUGUUUGGUUAAGGUAGGCGGAAUGUGUAAUGUAGCGGUGAAAUGCUUAGAUAUUACACAGAACACCAAUUGCGUAGGCAGCUUACUGAGCCGACACUGACGCUGAGGCACGAAAGCGUGGGGAUCGAACA
This 251-nucleotide ribosomal RNA is filed under the name uncultured prokaryote. RNAcentral's name for it is "partial 16S ribosomal RNA". It matches the Rfam family "Bacterial small subunit ribosomal RNA", at positions 524 to 774 of the family's 1533-position model. The record is from RNAcentral.